Molecule: ribosomal RNA, 676 nt
Filed under: Elagatis bipinnulata (rainbow runner)
Lineage: Eukaryota; Metazoa; Chordata; Actinopteri; Carangiformes; Carangidae
Description: partial 16S ribosomal RNA
Rfam family: Bacterial large subunit ribosomal RNA
Source: RNAcentral
CGAACAUUAACGGCCCCAAUUAAAGAGGGGACUGGACAAAAACUAGAAAAUCGUCCACCGUUAACCCCACACUGGUGUGCCCUUAAGGAAAGACUAAAAGAAAGAGAAGGAACUCGGCAAACAAGCCUCGCCUGUUUACCAAAAACAUCGCCUCUUGCAAGAAUAAGAGGUCCCGCCUGCCCGGUGACAUUAUAGUUUAACGGCCGCGGUAUUUUGACCGUGCAAAGGUAGCGUAAUCACUUGUCUUUUAAAUGAAGACCUGUAUGAAUGGCAUAACGAGGGCUUAACUGUCUCCUCUUUCCAGUCAAUGAAAUUGAUCUCCCCGUGCAGAAGCGGGGAUACACUCAUAAGACGAGAAGACCCUAUGGAGCUUUAGACACUAAGAUAGACCAUGUUAAGCACCCUCAAAUAAGAGACUGAACUUAAUGAUACCCUGUCCUAAUGUCUUCGGUUGGGGCGACCAUGGGGUAAUAAAUAACCCCCAUGCGGAAUGGGAGGACUCCCACAACUAAGAGCCACAGCUCUAGCUAACAGAAUUUCUGACCAUAUAUGAUCCGGCAACGCCGAUCAACGGACCAAGUUACCCUAGGGAUAACAGCGCAAUCCCCUUUUAGAGCCCAUAUCGACAAGGGGGUUUACGACCUCGAUGUUGGAUCAGGACAUCCUAAUGGUGCAG